Molecule: long non-coding RNA, 3237 nt
Organism: Nicotiana tabacum (common tobacco)
Lineage: Eukaryota; Viridiplantae; Streptophyta; Magnoliopsida; Solanales; Solanaceae
Source: RefSeq, a predicted model, not a curated record
UUAAAUUAUCACUAAAAUAUAUAUAUUUGAUAAAUUGUAUAUCAAAUUGGAAUUAAGUUAAAACUUCUGUAGUGUGGGUAAAUAAGUUUCUAAAGUAAUAUAGCUUGGUAAAAAUCUCUUUUCAAAAUCGUUUUAGCCCAAAUCUAUUAAAACUUGGACGGGUUAGACGGGUCAAAUUAGGUUGGGGUGGGUCAAAUAAUUAUAAGUACUCUUUUGCAAUUCAGUCAAAAGUAAAAAAUACGUUUAUUUUAAAAAGAAAAUUAGAAAAAGCAGCAGCUCCUUCACUUUCGCCACUGCAAGCUCGCGCUUGGCCAACCGGUUCCAAUGCCGCUGGGCUGUGGCCUGUGGCACUAUGGCUCAAGGAAGAUUUGGAGCUUAUCAUCAGCAUGUCUCUUAAGGAGCCCUCAAGCCACGAGGUUAAGAUUGCAAAAAUCAACCAAGUUCAGCUGUUGGUCCAACCCAUGUCCACUUGGCUCCGGAAUUCUUCCUACGAGGUUUGUGGUUUCAUAUGUCUCAGUUUGUUGAUCCCAGGAACAUAUACGUAUCAUUUCAUUGGUAAUUUUAUCAAAAUUUUACGCAAAAUGUGGCUAUAUGUGUACUCCUAAAUUUAUGCAAGUAGAGUGAGUUUUUUGCCAAAUGCAACUUGUCUUCUUAGUCAUCCAUUCAUGAAUGCUCUAAUUCCUCCUCUUCUGGUCUUUUACAAUUGUAUGACCUCUUUCUUGGUCAAGUAUUAGUGCAGAUAUAAAACAUCUCAGGGCUUGGUGGUUGAAUUCUAUUUGCACCUCAAGUGGCGUGCCAACAUCUCUUUGGUCCAGUUAAGCACAUUUGCCUCUUAAUACAGAUGUAGCUUUAAAAGUGCGCUUCAGGAGUCUCAGCACAUAUGAAAAUUCACGACUUUGAAAAAUACAAUUCGAGCACAUAACAAGUAUGUACAGUUGUCCAUCCUUUAAAUAUUUACUCUUUAUGAUAUGAAUCCAGUUAGAAAGGGAACUAGAAAUAAUUUUUAACUACAAGAUUAUGUUGAGCUGGUACGAUUUGUUGGUGUUGAUAAGCUCCUCAAGUUAUUGCCUAAUUUCAAUUUUCCCUGGGUUAUUGCACUUGGCUGAUCUUAUUACUCAAGUUUCACCUCCAUAUUGUUUGUAUGGUGCAGCAACAGUACACCGCACUCUAAUUAUUUACCACACCUGCCACGGUGUUGUUAAACACGUCUUCCUGACAAAGGCUAAUUUGAGUUAAGUUUUUUCUUUCAAUUUAAUCAAAGGUAAUUGCCGAAGCGGGAUUAAUAUAUAUUUCGUGUUUCUCUUAAACAAAUUAGGUGAUUAAGUUUAGAAAAAGUUAUACUGCAUUUCGAAUAUCAUGUACAUUCCUUUCUCAUGCUUAUCAUUUUCUUAAUAUUUGUGAAAAGUUCGGCUUUUGGUGCAUAGGCAUUAUUUGUUGAAUCAAACAGUUUUUUUUGAAUAAAUGAAAAUCUUGGAGAAACAAAGACGAAGUAGGGUAUCAACCUGAAUUCACUAAGCAUAAGCUUUACAUAAAUGUGCAAAAUCUGAAAAAUAGUCAAAGAAAAAUGCCACUCAUAUCUGUAAUUUCUUAUCUUUCGCCUGAAUCAGACCCUAAAUGCACCGGGACAUUGAUCAAACAAAGGUGAUUAAGUUGAGCAAUAUCUUCAUUAAAUUCUUUUACGUUAAAUUUAUUUAGGAGAGGAUCCAAAUUAAGUUGGUUGCUAAGAUGAUCCAUUCAUUGUUGGAUUAUUUCAGGUCAUCUCAUUGACAUCUCAGCUUUGGAAACUAGUUUUAUUUAUUUAUGUUCUAUGUAUGAACAUCCACUUGAACAUCUCAGCUUUGGAAACUAGUUUUAUUUAUUUAUGAACAUCUACCGCUGGCUUUAUACAGUUCUUUCUUUCUAAAAAAGCGUCAUGAAAUUUUGAAUUAAUUGCUAUAGUUAAGAAUCCCCACAAGGUGGAACUCUCAGCCUUGUUGAAGAUUUGGUUUCUAUGUGUGCCUACUGAUUGGGUGCCUGUCCUAUUAAAUUCUACACGUUUCAUAGAUUAUGUCAUUUCUUGAGGAGACUGCCACAUUGUAAGUGGGAGAAUGAAUCAAUUAACUUCCUGACUGGUAUUGUCGGCAUUCGGUAAUGAAUAUGUAAUGUCGACUAUCCUUUUCUUUUAUGACUUGGACUUCUACUGUUUGUAAAGACAUGUACAUUAUGAUGAUUGGUAAAGUUGUGUUGUUUUUCAAAAUCUCAUUUGUGCUUAUUGAACAUACAUAGAUAUAAUUAUGUGUCUACAUUGGCGUAUGUACUUAAGGACAGAAGUUCAUUAAUACUGAUUGUAGCAGAGCAUCUGGUCCUAAAUUCUCAAAAGACGGCGACAACCUUUGUGAAUAUAUGUCACCUGUUAACUAAAAUCGAUGUUCCUGAAAUAGUGCCUGCUCAAAGAAUGGUGAUUUUUAAAUCUUUUAUUUAUUUAUCUAUUUGUUAAUUUGUGUAUGGUGAUUGAAACAACACAGUCAUCCUAAUGUUUUACUUGCAUCUCCAUUUUAUGAGUUAAAUCUCGUGUACAACAAAAGAACAAGAAUAUAGAUGCUAAAUUCAGCAGAGUGGCGCUCAAGAUUUAUGUUGUCUGAUGUAUUUGAAGGGGGGAGUUGCAGGCAAUCUUUCCUCAGGUUACAUAGUAUCUCAUCAUCCUGUAUGUGGAAGACACUAGACAUCUCAGCGGAGAGAAGACGACCUGGAAUUCGUAGGGUAAAUAUUUUGUUCUAUUCACUUCAUAAUUUGAGUUAGAUAAGUCCUUUUUUCGCUGUUUGAAAUUCAAGUCAUGUAAGUAUCUGAAUAUGCAGACCAUUUGUCAAGAAAAUAUUCAAAUGCUUCAUGACUAUUUCUCCUUGUAAGUAACCUGAUUAUGUAGUAUGCUUUGGAGUCUCCAACAUCAGCCUGUUGUCAUUAACUCUGAUGCUUAGUUUAACCAACCUGAAUGAUAGUUCUCAUACUAUCAUGUUUUUAUAGACCAAGUCGAAAAGCAAAAUGAAGAUUUGAAUAAUGUUGCUUGGACAUGGUUAGGGGGUUGGAAUAUGAUGAAUUUUCUCAUUCUUUCUUGAUUCAAUUCUUUUAGUUAUUGCCCCAUGUGGAUGCUAUAGACUUGCUAUUAUGUUUGCUUGUGUUGUACUUAAAUCAUUUCUUCUUUGGUUGGUUUGAGCGGAUGAAUGGCUAAGGAGGGAUAUGACAAGUUUGUUCCAUUUCUAA